Molecule: transfer RNA, 72 nt
Filed under: Cavia porcellus (domestic guinea pig)
Lineage: Eukaryota; Metazoa; Chordata; Mammalia; Rodentia; Caviidae
Rfam family: tRNA
About the family: Transfer RNA (tRNA) molecules are approximately 80 nucleotides in length.
Source: Rfam by way of RNAcentral
AGGAGAGUAGCUCAUUGGUAGAGCAUCUGCCUAGCAUACACAAAGCCCUGGGUUCAAUUCCUAACACUGCAA